This 1337-nucleotide long non-coding RNA is filed under the name Homo sapiens (human). Its description in RNAcentral is "HSALNT0129468". Lineage: Eukaryota; Metazoa; Chordata; Mammalia; Primates; Hominidae. The record is from RNAcentral.
GAAUUAUAAGUGCCUCUUUAUUUUCUCUAAGAUUGCAUUAGAAAAUAUUUUUUUCUGACUAAUAAUGCUUUCCUUUUCAUUCUAUUAUUGAAUUUUGGUUUUCCAUGUGUUACUUUUGUGUACUCUCCCCUUAUUUCAACAAAGCAUUAAUUAAAUAUUUGAGUACCUAUUCUGUAUAGUGACUUGAACUAGAUCUUUAGAGAUACAAGGUUGAAUAAAAUACAGACCCUAUCAUCAAGGAUAAUUCUAGUGACAAUUAUAUUUCACAUUAUUUCUGUCAGGUCUUGAUAAUAUUUUAAUCACAGGAACCACCAUAGCAGUCCAGACUCAUUUUAUUAUUUAUCAUCUCUCAGUAACUGCUCCGACAGUGGCAACAAAGGGUAUUGAAUACUUAUAUUUCAAAUUUUAAAAUUUAUGAUAAUUUGGAGGGAGGUGAAAAAACCUUACUAGGAAAGACAAACAUUCAUUAUUCUACGUGUGUGUGAGCUCAUGUCUCUUACUCUUAGCAUCCUGGGAAUUAAGUACAGCCUUCUGUGUAGGUGUUCCUUUAAAGAAAACAACUUUAAUGCAUUUUACCUCUGCACAUUUCCACUGACAUGACUCCUAUUUGUACAGUGUUCCGAGCACUGUCAAGACUGCCAGAGCUCUGGCACAGGUCCAUAGGUACUCCCACGGAGGCAUUGCCUCAGAAAGACAAGAGAAAGGAACAAAUUGCAGUUGCUUUGAAAUCUUACAGUGGCCUAUAGGGGUUGGGAUAGGGCAGUAAGGAGAUCCAGCUGAGGUAUUCAGGGACUGGUAAGCUUGGAUAAGUGUGUUUAAAGCCUUGAAAACCAGAAGAAGAGUUUAGUCUUGAUGUGAAUGUGGUCAGUGGUAGAGAACUAUAGGUUCUUAGCAAAAAUGUAGUUUGAACAUAGCAUUUUAAGAACAGUAAUGGGGUAAUAGAUUUGAUUGCAAUUAGGACCGGUUAGAAAGUAAUUCCAGUAGUAUGCCAUUGCUGGCCAGUGCAAAUAAGUUGGCCUAGACUAGCACAGUAGUGGUUGGAAUGGAGAAGAACUAUGAAUUAGAAAUUGGAAAGCGUAAGAGCUGAGAAAAGGCCUUCAGAUUUGGUUAGAUCUGUGGUGAUCUUUAAAAAUGUAACUUUCAUAGAAAAGUACAGAAUGGAAGCCCAUCUUUUUAGGAUUAAUGAGGAAAUGUCAAGAAUAUGUAUGCAGCAAUCAUUGACUACUUAGUGUUAAGACAUUUGACAACAAAGUUGAAGAGACAAACAAGAUGCUAACUAGAUGGGUGGUAGAUCUUAGAAGGCAUUGCUUUAAUAUAAGGGAGAAGAAGAACCUAAA